GACGAACGCUGGCGGCAUGCCUAAUACAUGCAAGUCGAGCGAACAGAUGAAGUGCUUGCACUUCUGACGUUAGCGGCGAACGGGUGAGUAACACGUAAGGAAUCUACCUAUAAGCGGGGGAUAACAUUCGGAAACGGGUGCUAAUACCGCAUAAUAUCUUCUUCCGCAUGGAAGAAGAUUGAAAGACGGCUCUGCUGUCACUUAUAGAUGACCUUGCGGUGCAUUAGUUAGUUGGUGGGGUAACGGCCUACCAAGACGAUGAUGCAUAGCCGACCUGUGAGGGUGAUCGGCCACAUUGGGACUGGUACACGGCCCAAACUCCUACGGGAGGCAGCAGUAGGGAAUCUUCCGCAAUGGGCGAAAGCCUGACGGAGCAAUGCCGCGUGAGUGAAGAAGGCCUUCGGGUCGUAAAACUCUGUUAUAAGAGAAGAACAAAUUGUAGAGUAACUGCUACAGUCUUGACGGUAUCUUAUCAGAAAGCCACGGCUAACUACGUGCCAGCCGCCGCCGUAA
This 513-nucleotide ribosomal RNA is filed under the name uncultured bacterium. RNAcentral's name for it is "partial 16S ribosomal RNA". It matches the Rfam family "Bacterial small subunit ribosomal RNA", at positions 28 to 523 of the family's 1533-position model. The record is from RNAcentral.